RNAcentral lists this ribosomal RNA (596 nucleotides) under Lecidea fuscoatra. RNAcentral's name for it is "SSU rRNA". It matches the Rfam family "Bacterial small subunit ribosomal RNA", at positions 361 to 962 of the family's 1533-position model. Lineage: Eukaryota; Fungi; Ascomycota; Lecanoromycetes; Lecideales; Lecideaceae. The record is from RNAcentral.
AUAUUGGUCAAUGGCCUAACGGCUGAACCAGCAACUUGGUUGAAUGUAUGGCAAUAGCUGGUUGCAUUAACAAAAAGUUAGUGUAAGAUCGACUCUGUCGAAUAAAAUUCUAGAUAGAAUUAUGAUAAUGACAUUAUCUAUCUAUGUGUCUUGACCAAAUUACGUGCCAGCAGUCGCGGUAAUACGUAAAAGACUAGUGUUAUUCAUCUUUAAUAGGUUUAAAGGGUACUUAGACGGUAAAUAAAGCCCGAACAGGGGACUAAUAUACUAGAGUUUGAUGUAAGGAAGCAUGAAAGUACUGUUGGUGUAGAGAUAAAAUUCUAUCAUACCAAAUAUGGCACAGGUUUAGGCGAAAGCAUCUUCUUAUGUAAUAACUGACGUUGAAGGACGAAGGCUUUGUGUCUCGAACAGGAUUAGAUACCCCAGUAGUCUAAGCAGAUAAUGAUGAAUGUCAUAGAUUAGAUUUAAUUUAAUUUAUUCUAUAAAUGAAAGUGUAAGCAUUCCACCUCAAGAGUAAUUUGGCAACAUUGGAACUGAAAUCAUUAGACCGUUUCUGAAACCAGUAGUGAAGUAUGUUAUUUAAUUCGAUAAUCCGC